This 496-nucleotide ribosomal RNA is filed under the name uncultured bacterium. RNAcentral describes it as "partial 16S ribosomal RNA". It matches the Rfam family "Bacterial small subunit ribosomal RNA", at positions 28 to 507 of the family's 1533-position model. The record is from RNAcentral.
GAUGAACGCUGGCGGCGUGCCUAAUACAUGCAAGUCGAGCGAACAGAUGAGGAGCUUGCUCCUCUGACGUUAGCGGCGGACGGGUGAGUAACACGUGGAUAACCUACCUAUAAGACUGGGAUAACUUCGGGAAACCGGAGCUAAUACCGGAUAAUAUAUUGAACCGCAUGGUUCAAUAGUGAAAGACGGUUUUGCUGCCACUUAUAGAUGGAUCCGCGCCGCAUUAGCUAGUUGGUAAGGUAACGGCUUACCAAGGCAACGAUGCGUAGCCGACCUGAGAGGGUGAUCGGCCACACUGGAACUGAGACACGGUCCAGACUCCGACGGGAGGCAGCAGUAGGGAAUCUUCCGAAAUGGGCGAAAGCCUGACGGAGCAACGCCGCGUGAGUGAUGAAGGUCUUUGGAUCGUAAAACUCUGUUAUUAGUGAAAACAAAUGUGUAAGUAACUAUGCACGGCUUGACGGUACCUAAUCAGAAAGCCACGGCUAACUACGUG